AUUGAACGCUGGCGGCAUGCUUUACACAUGCAAGUCGAACGGCAGCGCGGGCUUCGGCCUGGCGGCGAGUGGCGAACGUGUGUGUAAUACAUCGGAACGUGCCCAGUAGUGGGGUAUAGCUCGGCGAAAGCCGGAUUAAUACCGCAUACGACCUGGGGGUGAAAGCGGGGGAUCUUCGGACCUCGCGCUAUUGGAGCGGCCGAUGGCAGAUUAGCUAGUUGGUGGGGUAAAGGCCUACCAAGGCGACGAUCUGUAGCUGGUCUGAGAGGACGACCAGCCACACUGGGACUGAGACACGGCCCAGACUCCUACGGGAGGCAGCAGUGGGGAAUUUUGGACAAUGGGCGAAAGCCUGAUCCAGCAAUGCCGCGUGUGUGAUGAAGGCCUUCGGGUUGUAAAGCACUUUUGGAGGGAACGAAAAGGACUGUGCCAAUACCACGGUUCGAUGACGGUACCCGAAGAAUAAGCACCGGCUAACUACGUG
This 484-nucleotide ribosomal RNA is filed under the name uncultured bacterium. RNAcentral describes it as "partial 16S ribosomal RNA". It matches the Rfam family "Bacterial small subunit ribosomal RNA", at positions 30 to 507 of the family's 1533-position model. The record is from RNAcentral.